This 428-nucleotide ribosomal RNA is filed under the name uncultured bacterium. RNAcentral's name for it is "partial 16S ribosomal RNA". It matches the Rfam family "Bacterial small subunit ribosomal RNA", at positions 354 to 796 of the family's 1533-position model. The record is from RNAcentral.
GUGGGGAAUAUUGGGCAAUGGGCGAAAGCCUGACCCAGCAACGCCGCGUGAAGGAAGAAGGUUUUCGGAUUGUAAACUUCUGUCCUCAGGGAAGAAGGAAGUGACGGUACCUGAGGAGGAAGCCCCGGCUAACUACGUGCCAGCAGCCGCGGUAAUACGUAGGGGGCGAGCGUUGUCCGGAAUGACUGGGCGUAAAGGGCGCGUAGACGGCUGUCUAAGUCUGGAGUGAAAGUCCUGCUUUCAAGGUGGGAAUUGCUUUGGAGACUGGAUGGCUUGAGUGCGGAAGAGGUAAGUGGAAUUCCCAGUGUAGCGGUGAAAUGCGUAGAGAUUGGGAGGAACACCAGUGGCGAAGGCGACUUACUGGGCCGUAACUGACGUUGAUGCGCGAAAGCGUGGGGAGCGAACAGGAUUAGAAACCCUUGUAGUCC